UGGGGAAUAGCUCAGUGGUUGAGUGCAUGGUUAACAUGUACAAGAUCCUGGGUUCAAUCCCCAGUACCUCCA
RNAcentral lists this transfer RNA (72 nucleotides) under Camelus bactrianus (Bactrian camel). It matches the Rfam family "tRNA". Rfam says of the family: Transfer RNA (tRNA) molecules are approximately 80 nucleotides in length. Their secondary structure includes four short double-helical elements and three loops (D, anti-codon, and T loops). Further hydrogen bonds mediate the characteristic L-shaped molecular structure. tRNAs have two regions of fundamental functional importance: the anti-codon, which is responsible for specific mRNA codon recognition, and the 3' end, to which the tRNAs corresponding amino acid is attached (by aminoacyl-tRNA synthetases). tRNAs cope with the degeneracy of the genetic code in two manners: having more than one tRNA (with a specific anti-codon) for a particular amino acid; and 'wobble' base-pairing, i.e. permitting non-standard base-pairing at the 3rd anti-codon position. Lineage: Eukaryota; Metazoa; Chordata; Mammalia; Artiodactyla; Camelidae. RNAcentral also lists the same sequence under 3 other names. The record is from Rfam by way of RNAcentral.